This 495-nucleotide ribosomal RNA is filed under the name uncultured bacterium. RNAcentral describes it as "bacterial SSU rRNA". It matches the Rfam family "Bacterial small subunit ribosomal RNA", at positions 38 to 524 of the family's 1533-position model. The record is from RNAcentral.
GGCGGCAGGCCUAACACAUGCAAGUCGAGCGGUAGCAGGUCUAGUUUACUGGAUGCUGACGAGCGGCGGACGGGUGAGUAAUGCAUGGGAAUUUGCCUAGUUGAGGGGGAUACCGUUUGGAAACGGACGUUAAUCCCGCAUACGCCCUGUGGGGGAAAGGUGGCACUUUAGGGUGCUGUCGCGAUUAGAUAAGCCCAUGUAAGAUUAGCUAGUUGGUGGGGUAAAGGCUCACCAAGGCGACGAUCUUUAGCUGGUUUGAGAGGAUGAACAGCCACACUGGGACUGAGACACGGCCCAGACUCUUACGGGAGGCAGCAGUGGGGGAUAUUGCACAAUGGGGGGAACCCUGAUGCAGCCAUGCCGCGUGUGUGAAGAAGGCCUUCGGGUUGUAAAGCACUUUCGGUAUUGAGAAAGGUGCGUUGUUUAAGAGAUGACGUAUUUGAUGUUAGAUACAGAAGCAGCACCGGCAAACUCCGUGCCAGCAGCCGCGGUAAU